AAUCGUCCGAUCUACCAUCUGAUAGACCGCAGUUCGACUCAAGCCAUAGGACGGGGACUUGAG
This 63-nucleotide non-coding RNA is filed under the name unclassified sequences. RNAcentral describes it as "Glutamine-II sequence". It matches the Rfam family "Glutamine-II riboswitch aptamer". From Rfam's summary of the family: The major groove of the PK provides the binding site for L-glutamine The record is from RNAcentral. RNAcentral also lists the same sequence under 1 other name.